GUUCUACCUUGACGAAUUGUAGUUUAAAGAAGUGUUUUCUGUUAGAUGAGUAGCAAAAGUUCCUUGGAAUGGGACAUCAUAGAGGGUGAGAAUCCCGUAUUUGGUUAUUCAUUCUAGCUUUGUGAUACACUUUCAAAGAGUCGGAUUGUUUGGGAAUGCAGUCCAAAAUGGGUGGUAAAUUUCAUCUAAAGCUAAAUAUUGGCGAGAGACCGAUAGCGAACAAGUACCGUGAGGGAAAGAUGAAAAGAACUUUGAAAAGAGAGUUAAACAGUACGUGAAAUUGUCAAAAGGGAAGCGUUUGACACCAGUGUUGUUUUUCCGAAAAUCAAUUACGAAUGGCUUGAUUCUGUGUUGUAUUGACCUUAUCAGCUUUCUUCACUUUUUUCGAGUCUUUCUU
RNAcentral lists this ribosomal RNA (397 nucleotides) under uncultured Neocallimastigomycetes. Its description in RNAcentral is "eukaryotic LSU rRNA". It matches the Rfam family "Eukaryotic large subunit ribosomal RNA", at positions 127 to 521 of the family's 3401-position model. The record is from RNAcentral. Lineage: Eukaryota; Fungi; Neocallimastigomycota; Neocallimastigomycetes.